GUUGUUUUGAUAGUUUUUCAACAAACUUUCGGCCUCUCGUUCUCUCUCAUUUCUCCACCAAAUUUGACGAGUAAGGUAUGGUUUUCUACCUAUUUUCCAUGCUCUAGCUGAUGGUUGGGUAGGAUUUCGUUAAUUUUGAGCUUAGGUCAGUUGAAUUUCAACUUAGGGUUCGGCCGGUUUUGGAUUUCCGAUUCCGGCCACUUCCGGUCACUUUUUGGGGUAGGGCCAAGAACAAAAGUGACUCCAAAUAGGGUGUUGUACCUAGGGUAGGAGUCUUGAGCUGAGGUGUUGAGUUUUUCCGACAAAGGGUUAUCGCUUUGGACACCCACACGCUGCCAGCGCGUGUGGCGGCGCGUGGGCACUGUAGCAAACUUGCAUUUUUGUCCCAAUGCGAUCCCCUGGUUGUCACGAGUGCGUAGAAUUUUGCGGAUCUCAAUUCGGACAUCGUUUGACUAUCGAACGAAUUUUCACAUAUUAGGAGUUAUCCGGGUUCGCCAUGUUCGGACCGUUGGAUCGACUUCAUUCCAAUAUAUGUUACUCUAGACUUUCCUAGGAACGUGUAGGAAUUCGCGGAUCAUGAAUCGGAGCCCCGGAUGUUCUGAUUCAAUAAUUUAAAGUUUGAAGAUUUUUUCGAUAACCGUCCGAUCGUGAGAGAUAUGCGAUCUAACCGUCCUUUCCUGACCAAACUUACUGGACAUGUGUCUUAAACCUUGUGGAACUCUUAGGAACUUCCAGUUUGUUCCGUUCCUCGUACACUAGCUAGAAACCUGGGAAAUUAGGAUUUUAAUUCAAGUUCUCGUUCGAAACAUUUUGUAUUAAUCUCGUAUUCGUAUUCUGAAAUAGGUACUCCGACCACGCAUACGCAGCAGGCGGGACCCUCUCAGGGUCAAGCAGUGUGGGACUACUUGUGAGUGGACUUUGUUUUCAACUUAUAAGCAUGGUUUUAUAAUGAGAAUUUUAUGCAUAUGAAUUAAAUAGUUAUUGAAAUGCAUGUUAUAUUUAAUAGUUGAAUUCUUUAUUUUCAUAAAGUAUUGGUAAUAUAAUUUGGGUUUUGACAUAUUUGAGUAUCUUGAGUAUGUAUAUAUGGAUUUUGAGAAUUUCUAUACAUGUUUGGCUAUGUGUGGGGUACUUGGGUUGUUGAGAUGGAAUUUUGGAAAGUGGUGAGUAUAGAAUGUCAGUUUGGAGUGCUAUAAGCACUACCCUAUGUACCUCCCCAGAUUUGAAACUUGAGAUACUUGGAAAUUUCGGAACCCGAGCAUCCUUGACGGGAUGUUGCUGUAGACCCUUGAUUGGGUAGUCCGCGCGCGUAGGACUGGUCACAGACGUACGAGUUUUGAGGGUAUCGGCUGUACGUGCUGGCUGAGAGUUAGUCCCCCAGUUGGACGGCUCGUUCCCUAGUUACAUGGUGAAUUGAGGACUCUCCAUAAGGACUCUGCCAUGGGAACUUGUCAAACAAUCCCCCGGUUGGAUUGUUUCCCCGGUACAACUAGGUAUUGGUCAUAUUUAUAUUAUAUAUAUAUCUCUUAUAUUAUUUAUAUAUUUACGUAUGUAUUUAACUAUUCUUUCAUUCUUGUUUUUCGGUGAGGAUACUUACUUGCCGGUCAUGCCAAUGGGUACGCUUUCGAGAGUUUGGGUUGGGACUUAUAAUAUUUAAUUGGUGGGUUUGUUUAGUGUGCUGUUUGGAUUUCGGACUUGGCAUCCGGCAUUGGUUUGGUUUUGACUUAUAUAAAUAUUUAUUUGAUUAUGAUGGUUUGGGAUGCAUUUGGAUUUCUUGCAUGGUUUAUUAAACAGUGGGGUUAUAUUAUGUUGGUUUACACUGAACUGAACUUUAUUUUCGUCCACUCACAUUUUUCUAUUUUGGACCCCCAGCCAGUAGUCGACUGAGCUCCGCAGCUGAGCCGGAUUGUGUGCUUACGAGCCUUGAGCCUUCGU
Molecule: long non-coding RNA, 1932 nt
Filed under: Prunus persica (peach)
Lineage: Eukaryota; Viridiplantae; Streptophyta; Magnoliopsida; Rosales; Rosaceae
Description: long non-coding RNA (PPER_LNC004717)
Source: RNAcentral